CUUUCCCACUUAGCUCUGCCAGUUUUGCAUUCGCAGUCCGCCUGUCCAGUGAACCGACUCCUCAGAGCGCAUGCGCGCAACUAGGCAUUGUUGGUUCUCGUGCAACAGCGAACAUGGCGUGACGCGCACGAGCUCAGCUUGCAACGCUGAGACAUGACAUUGAAUAUUUUGAAGCAGAAGCAAGACACCGCAGAUUUAACUUUUGCAUUUUAUAUACUUUUGGCUGUUUACCAUAAACAUUAUGUCUUUUUCAACUACUGUCUAAUGACAUAGUUCAAAUAGAUAUUCUUUAAUACAACUAAGACUGUGUGCCUUCUUUCCUAUAAGGGAUUAAUGAGGCUUAUCUUAAGUGCACUGGAUCUUACAAUGAACCAUUAUAAUCCUUAUAGAGAAGAGAUCCUGUGUUAAACCCUAAAUACAGUGUUAAAACACACUUGUGUGUUCAGUAUUACCUGUUUAUUCUGUUAACUUUUAAAGAGAUUAAAAAGGACACAACUUUGUAA
This is a long non-coding RNA of Tachysurus fulvidraco (yellow catfish), 503 nucleotides long. RefSeq lists it as uncharacterized. The transcript is spliced from 2 exons. Lineage: Eukaryota; Metazoa; Chordata; Actinopteri; Siluriformes; Bagridae. The record is from RefSeq and is a predicted model, not a curated record.